GUGAACGCUGGCGGUAGGCCUAACGCAUGCAAGUCGAACGGCAGCACCGUAAGAGCUUGCUCUUACGGGUGGCGAGUGGCGGACGGGUGAGGAAUACAUCGGAAUCUACUUUUUCGUGGGGGAUAACGUAGGGAAACUUACGCUAAUACCGCAUACGACCUACGGGUGAAAGCAGGGGAUCUUCGGACCUUGCGCGAUUGAAUGAGCCGAUGUCGGAUUAGCUAGUUGGCGGGGUAAAGGCCCACCAAGGCGACGAUCCGUAGCUGGUCUGAGAGGAUGAUCAGCCACACUGGAACUGAGACACGGUCCAGACUCCUACGGGAGGCAGCAGUGGGGAAUAUUGGACAAUGGGCGCAAGCCUGAUCCAGCCAUACCGCGUGGGUGAAGAAGGCCUUCGGGUUGUAAAGCCCUUUUGUUGGGAAAGAAAAGCAGCAGGUUAAUACCCCGCUGUUCUGACGGUACCCAAAGAAUAAGCACCGGCUAACUUCGUG
Molecule: ribosomal RNA, 491 nt
Filed under: uncultured bacterium
Lineage: Bacteria
Description: partial 16S ribosomal RNA
Rfam family: Bacterial small subunit ribosomal RNA
Source: RNAcentral